This is a transfer RNA of Ovis aries (sheep), 72 nucleotides long. It matches the Rfam family "tRNA". Rfam says of the family: Transfer RNA (tRNA) molecules are approximately 80 nucleotides in length. Their secondary structure includes four short double-helical elements and three loops (D, anti-codon, and T loops). The record is from Rfam. Lineage: Eukaryota; Metazoa; Chordata; Mammalia; Artiodactyla; Bovidae.
UCCCUGGAGGCUCAGAGGGUAAAGCGUCUGCCUGCAACGCGGGAAACCUGGGUUCGAUCCCUGGGUUGGGAA